AAAUAUGAUCGGUUGAUUCCUCGGCUAGUGUGUCGAUGGAGAGCGAAGCCCACUGUGUGAACCAAUGUAACUUGCAUAGUGGUUUCAACACAGGCAUCUUGAACACAUUGCGGCUGUGGGUUAGCUUGUAACCACGACUGUCCAAAAAACC
RNAcentral lists this ribosomal RNA (151 nucleotides) under Echinostoma caproni. Its description in RNAcentral is "5.8S ribosomal RNA". It matches the Rfam family "5.8S ribosomal RNA". Rfam says of the family: 5.8S ribosomal RNA (5.8S rRNA) is a component of the large subunit of the eukaryotic ribosome. It is transcribed by RNA polymerase I as part of the 45S precursor that also contains 18S and 28S rRNA. Functionally, it is thought that 5.8S rRNA may be involved in ribosome translocation. The record is from Rfam by way of RNAcentral. Lineage: Eukaryota; Metazoa; Platyhelminthes; Trematoda; Plagiorchiida; Echinostomatidae.